RNAcentral lists this ribosomal RNA (478 nucleotides) under uncultured bacterium. RNAcentral's name for it is "partial 16S ribosomal RNA". It matches the Rfam family "Bacterial small subunit ribosomal RNA", at positions 28 to 523 of the family's 1533-position model. The record is from RNAcentral.
GACGAACGCUGGCGGCGUGCUUAACACAUGCAAGUCGAACGGUAAGGCCCUUCGGGGUACACGAGUGGCGAACGGGUGAGUAACACGUGGGUGAUCUGCCCUGCACUUCGGGAUAAGCCUGGGAAACUGGGUCUAAUACCGGAUAGGACCACUGCCUGCAUGGGUGGUGGUGGAAAGCUUUUGCGGUGUGGGAUGGGCCCGCGGCCUAUCAGCUUGUUGGUGGGGUGAUGGCCUACCAAGGCGACGACGGGUAGCCGGCCUGAGAGGGUGACCGGCCACACUGGGACUGGGAUACGGCCCAGACUCCAACGGGAGGCAGCAGUGGGGAAUAUUGCACAAUGGGCGCAAGCCUUAUGCAGCGACGCCGCGUGAGGGAUGUCGGCCUUCGGGUUGUAAACCUCUUUCAGCACCGACGAAGCGCAAGUGACGGUAGGUGCAGAAGAAGGACCGGCCAACUACGUGCCAGCAGCCGCCGUAA